AUAAAAUGAGACCUAAUCUUCGACUCGUUUAUACUUAAAUCAGUGUCUACAAUACAGCAAAACAACGUAAAAUAUUUCUUUCCGACAUCAUAAUGGUUCCCAAGAAGGCAAUUCUCUACCUUCUCUAUCUUUGUUCAUAAUAUACGACGCUGCUUCCAUGGUGAUGGUGACUGCUACCGUCUCCAAUGACAUCAGUAAGUUAUCCUUUCUAGCAUCUCAAAAUUUUUACAUUAAUGGAAACUAAUUCGGUAGUGCAUGUGGUUCAUGCAGCUCAAGCAACAGUAGAGAAAAAUAAAGUGCAUAUGAUUUCCGAUGUUGCGCAGCCUGUUCGCCAUCGUCCAAUUCCAGGCACUCCAGUUCCGAAACACCUGAAAAUCGUCUUCCUUGCUGUUGGAGAAGAUGUCUCUUGUUGCUGCUUUGCUGCAGAGGAUGCUAAGAAAAUCGGAUAUUGGCCCUAUAAUUAGUGAGUUCCAUUCACUUUAUUAUCAACUAGAUUUGAUAGAAUUGAGGGAAAAAAAAAAGGUUCAAAUAUCGUGUGUUGGGUGCAAACGCCCAUGUUUGGCCCCCAUUUUGUGGAAAUGAAAAUGGGUGGAAUCGUAUUUAUUUGAAAAAUAAGUGAUUGAAAAUAAAGAAAAAAGUUUUCUAUUUACAUAUAAUAUUAUUUUACAGAAGAUUGUGUGAUUGAAAAUAAGAAAGAGAGAAAUGGAAUGUAAUGGAAUGAGAAUUAUUGGGGGCCAAACGGGGGCUAAAAACUAACUGAAUCCGUU
Molecule: long non-coding RNA, 767 nt
Filed under: Olea europaea subsp. europaea
Lineage: Eukaryota; Viridiplantae; Streptophyta; Magnoliopsida; Lamiales; Oleaceae
Source: RNAcentral